CCUGAUAACGCACCAUUGACGUUAAAAUAUAAAUAUGUAAGCUUACAUCUAGCUUACACUUGGGAUGAUCCUCAAUCAAUAUCUGGUACAGUAGCAGUACAGCGGCUUUAAUAUUAUCUUCUACUUGAUGCACUUGAUACAAUACUUGAUAUGAAAUAAAAAAUUUAAGUAUAUAAGUAUACUUUAUACAUAAUGGCAUUAAAGAAACGUAGAGCGUGUACUCGGAGCUGAACGGUAAAGUGAUCUUUGUUUCUCCGUCAUACGGGUAAUUUAUAAAACAUUUUCCAGCUAAACUACAUCCACUAAAAUGCACACUGCAACGACGUGUCUAUUUUGAGACGAAGGUUUUUAAACAGCGUUUCAAGUGUACAAGUUUGUGUAGCGUGUAGUAACUGCAACGAUGCCAGUCAACUUAGAAGUUAAGCAUCAGCAAGUAGUUUGUGUAGAGUAGAUAGAUAUUUUACAAAGUAUUGGUACUAGAUACUAGAAACUAGACACUAGACACAAGACAUUUACUAAGUUUCAUCAAUCAACCUAAAGAAUGUUGAUAUCCAUUUGUCUCUUUUGUAUUUUGUCUCUUGUCUUCUCUACUCAUUUGGAUCGAUUUAUUGUAGAGCUUUUAUUAGUAUUUACUAUUUCUGUAAAUUAUAAAUAAAAUGUUGA
This is a long non-coding RNA of Cotesia glomerata, 663 nucleotides long. RefSeq lists it as uncharacterized. The transcript is spliced from 3 exons. The record is from RefSeq and is a predicted model, not a curated record. NCBI's taxonomy places the organism in Eukaryota, Metazoa, Arthropoda, Insecta, Hymenoptera, Braconidae.